This 337-nucleotide unclassified non-coding RNA is filed under the name soil metagenome. RNAcentral describes it as "partial contains 5.8S ribosomal RNA, internal transcribed spacer 2, and large subunit ribosomal RNA". The stretch from base 1 to 120 matches the Rfam family "5.8S ribosomal RNA", at positions 35 to 154 of the family's 154-position model. The record is from RNAcentral.
GAUGAAGAACGUAGCGAAAUGCGAUAAGUAGUGUGAAUUGCAGAAUUCAGUGAAUCAUCGAAUCUUUGAACGCACAUUGCGCCCCUUGGUAUUCCAUGGGGCAUGCCUGUUCGAGCGUCAUUUGUACCUUCAAGCUCUGCUUGGUGUUGGGUGUUUGUCUCGCCUCUGCGUGUAGACUCGCCUCAAAACAAUUGGCAGCCUGCGUAUUGAUUUCGGAGCGCAGUACAUCUCGCGCUUUGCACUCAUAACGACGACGUCCAAAAGUACAUUUUUACACUCUUGACCUCGGAUCAGGUAGGGAUACCCGCUGAACUUAAGCAUAUCAAUAAGCGGAGGA